Carassius auratus (goldfish) is the source of this 702-nucleotide long non-coding RNA. RefSeq lists it as uncharacterized. The transcript is spliced from 2 exons. NCBI's taxonomy places the organism in Eukaryota, Metazoa, Chordata, Actinopteri, Cypriniformes, Cyprinidae. The record is from RefSeq and is a predicted model, not a curated record.
GUGUUCACAGUGAGAUCCCAGUCAUACCUGUCGAGUUAAAGACGACGAAGAUCUUCAAGUAGGUGUCACAAUUGCUUUGAACAAAGCGAACAAGCCAUCCCCCCCCCCCCCCAUGCUGUUUGAAACUAACAUUUGCUCUUCCGUGGAUCUUUAUGUGUGCCACUGUACACCCACGGACUACAGAGCACCUGCCUAUAGAACAAUAACACGUGCGAUUAUGGAAGGGAAGAGGAAAUUCUUUUUUAAGGCACAAAAGCCAGUCUGGUUUGGAUGAACUGUUGUGUGACUGUACUUUACCCCAACACAUGUGACUUUCGAUGAGGAGACGAUUUCUCAGGAUCCCUACAGUAGCUUCAUUGCCGCCAGUCGUGCACGCGCAUGGGCCUCUCUAGACCUGUCAGACUCUCAGUGCUAGCAGUCGUGCACGCGCGUGGGACUCUCAGUGCUGGAGGUGUGGAGUGUAAACGAGAACUCGGGACUGGUAUAAACUUGACUAAGAGUGGAAUACAUUUGAUAUUUAUUUUUGUAGUAAUGCCUAUAAUUUAUGCAAGUUGUAUUGCAACGGUAACUGAGCAUUGUUUUGUAAAUAAACCAUGAUUGGUUUUUAUUUAAAAAGCCGAAGUUACGCAAUGUUGUUAACAAGGAGACUUUUACUAAUUUAUAUCUCUGAUUGUAAAUAAAAAGCGCUAGUCUGCACUGGCA